RNAcentral lists this long non-coding RNA (15164 nucleotides) under Lactuca sativa (garden lettuce). RNAcentral's name for it is "long non-coding RNA (LSAT_LNC006830)". Lineage: Eukaryota; Viridiplantae; Streptophyta; Magnoliopsida; Asterales; Asteraceae. The record is from RNAcentral.
ACCCAUUGAUAUGGAUAUUUUCGCUUUCUUCCCUUCAUCCCUUUAUUCAUCAAUAUCAAUUCUCUUAUUUUCUUCGAUCUUCAUAUAUGCCCUGCGAUGGAUGAAAACAUCCAAGGCUGCCCCUAACCUUCCCCCUAGCCCUCCUAAGCUUCCGAUAAUAGGAAACUUGCAUCAAGUGAUAGGUAAAAACUUCCAUCAGAUCCUAUGGAAAGUCUCCCGAAAAUACGGCCCAAUUAUGACUGUCCAUUUAGGUGCCACACCAUACGUCAUCAUCUCCUCAAGUGAAUUUGCAAACCAGGCCUUAAAAACUCACGAUCAAAUACUUUGUAACCGUCCACGUUCCAAGGGUUUCAAACGUCUAACUUUCGACUACAUGGACGUCGCUUUCUCCCCUCAUGCUGAUCAAUGGAAGGAGAUGCGAAAGGUUUUGGUAACCGAGUUCUUAGGUUCUAAGAGGAGUAGAUUGUUCAAAAAAGUGGUAGACACUGAGGUCAAGGGCAUGCUUGAUUCUUUCUCAUCACUAAAUACUACCAUUGACCUAGACGAGAGGCUCUUUCAUCUUGUAACCGACAUUGUUAGCAAGGUUGCAGUGGGUAAGAGCUACAGAGAAGAGACGUUUAGAGGUAAAAAAUUAAAAGAGAUGCUUGAUGAUCUGGUCAUCUCUCUUUGUGGCUCUGUUUCCGAUAUUUAUCCAGGUAGAUUAGGUUUGAUAUUAGACGAACUACUUGGGUUUAAUCGGAGGCUAGAAAAGACUUUCAGUAAUUUCGAUGCCUUCCUUCAAAUGGUUCUUGAUGAGCAUAUUGAUCAUACUGGAACAAGUGACCAUGAAAAAGAUAUGGUUGAUGCAUGCAGAUCUCAGUUGACUACAAACGAGAUGAAAGCCCUUUUGAUGGUAAAAACUUUUACUUUCCAUAUUUAGAGUUAUAUACUGUUUUUGGGUUUCAUGCAUUAAUUAAUAUUGUUUCUUAAAAAAGCAUAUAAAUGUAAGCUAACUCUUAUGAUCUUAAACUUAUAAUCAGAAUGUGCUAAAUGGAGCAAUUGAUACAACCACUACGACAAUGGUGUGGACAAUGUCUGAGAUUAUUAAAAAUCCUAGAGUUAUGAAAAAGCUACAGGAAGAAAUUCGAAGAUGCGUUGGAAGAAAAUCAAGCGUUGAGGAAGCGGAUGUCGCAAAUAUGCCAUACUUAAAGUUGGUUGUGAAGGAGGCGUUAAGAUUGCAUUCGACUGUUCCAUUCUUGCUUACAAGAGAAUGCGUAAAGCAUUGUCAGAUUGGUGGGUACGACAUCUUCCCAGGGACAAGAGUGUUGAUAAAUGCAUGGGGGAUAGGAAGGGAUCCAAAAGUCUGGACAGAGAGUGCAUCCAUCUUCAAUCCUGAGCGCUUAGAAAACCUUGAGUUGGAUCGUAGUGAGAUGAUUCCAUUUGGAGGGGGCAGAAGAGCUUGUCCAGCGGCAAGCGUUGCUACUCAGAUUGUGGAAUAUACGAUUGCAAACCUUUUUUACUCUUUUGAUUGGCAACUUCCAAGUGGAAUGAAGAACGAGGAACUUGACAUGGAAGAGGUUGGCUCCCUGAUCGUUGUUAGGAAAACGCCUCUUACCCUUGUGCCCGUGAAGUACGAUUGGCAAGACUAGUAAUCGUCGGUUUUCAAUGUUAAGAAGAUUUUGAAACUAAAAAAAAGAAGAUUUUGAAAGUAAUAUGCAUGUAAUAAUUUUAUUUGGAUAUACCUCAAUAAGUUCAUUGAAUAUGGGGUUGUGGAUUAGCUGCUAGAGGCAGGUGGAUCGAGUGUGGUGGGUUACUGUAUUUCCUUUUUAUAUUCUGUUUUUAUUACUUUACGAUAAAUUGCAUUGAUAAACUAAUUUGAAAUCAUUAGAACCUUGGUAUUAUUUAUUAAUGUUUUUGAGUUUGAAAUUUUUUUUAUAUUUAUAUGGUUGUAAUUUAUAUAUCAAUUAUUUAUUUAUUCAAAUGUUAUUGUAUUUUAAUUAUUAAAUAUUAUAACACAAAUAAUAUUAUUAAAUAAACAUUAUGAUUAUAUAAACAAUGAUCUAGAAAUGAAUAAAGUCAAAGUUAAAGCAUCAAUCUGUACCACUGAAACUUAAUAUAUCUAUUGUUAAUGAAUAGUAAAAAAAAUCAUAUUUAUUGAUAUACUAUUUAUCAACACUUUAGUGUGAUGUCGAAGCAAUUUAGUAGUGUAACUAUAUAUGUUUUUUUUUUCAUUCUUUUNAAAGUUAAAACAUCAAUUUGUACCACUGAAGCUUAAAAUAUUUAUUGUUAAUGAAUAGUAAAAAAAUCAUAUUUAUUGAUAUACUAUUUAUCAACACUUUAGUGUGAUGUCGAAGCAAUUUAGUAGUGUAACUAUAUAUGUUUUUUUUUUCAUUCUUUUCUCAAUGGCUCAUUCAAUUUUGAUUUUUUUAAAUCCAUUUAUCACCCUAUAAAUAUCAAACCAACCUAACUUAAUUUUUACACAUUUUUCUACAUAUUCUCUUAAUAAAACAAAAAAACCAAAAUGUCAUCUUCGUCCUCCGAUUCGACGGCUCAAGAAGAUGCAUUAUUUGUCGGUUCCAUCAUGACAAAAACUGUGGUGUAUUUCCAAAACCGUCAAGGUCAAAGUUCAUGUUCAUCACCUAAAACAAGAAAGCCACAGUUGUGGACAAAUCUUGAAGACAUUUACAAUAGUCUUAUAGAAGACUAUUUUGCAGAUGACGUUGUGUAUGCUGAAAAGUUUCGACGACAAUUACGGAUGAGGAAGGAGUUAUUUUUACGUAUUGUUGGCGAUUUGUAAGGCCGUUUUCCAUAUUUCCAAUGGAAUCGAGGUGCGAGACACAUAAAAGGUUUCUCUUUAAUUCAAAAAUGCACAACUACAAUUCGUUAGUUAGCAUACGACAAUGGCGUUGACAAAUGAGACGAGUAUUUGAGGAUGUAUGAGCGUACCAAACAGGAAAGUAUGUAAAAUUUCGCGAAAGCUAUUACUUUGGUUUAUGAACGGCGAUAUUUGUGCAAACCCACCAUCUACAAUGUCUACCAAUUGUACACGGUGCAUGAAAGUAAUUAUGGGUUCCCAAGAAUGGUAGGUAGUAUUGAUUGCAUGCAUUGGGAUUGGGCAUUGUGCCCCAACGCAUGGCAUGGUUAGUACAUGACAGGCGACCAUAGAGAACCAACGAUUGUUCUAGAAGCAAUCGGAUCACAUGAUCUUUGGAUAUGGCAUGCAUUCUUUCGUCUAGCCGGUGCAAAAAACGACAUCAAUAUUCUAAACUAGUUGUCAUUAUUCAACGACAUCUACCUUGGAAGGUCGCACGAUGUACCUUUUAAAGCAAAUGGGGUAGCAUAUAAGCGCGAGUACUAUCUUACUAACGAGAUAUAUCCUAUCUUAUCCGUUUUUAUGAAACUGUUCACAUGUCCGAACGAAGAAAAAAGAAAAAAGUUUAAACAUGCACAAGAGUCAGCUAGGAAGGAUAUGGAGCGAACAUUUGGUGUACUCAAGAGGCGUUGUCAAGUACUAACAGUCGGGGCAUGGUCAUAUGAAGUGAUAAGCUUGCAACACAUAAUGUAUGUGUGCAUUAGAUUAAAUAAUAUGAUUCUUGAAGAUAAAGGAAGAGUAAUAUGGCGAUACAACGAAAACAAAGUUUUGGCAAAUAUUGAAGGUGUAGCCGUUGGUACGCAAAAGUAUAGGACAAACAGAAGAGAAGUACAUGAUCACGACAUUUAUCACGCCAUUCGUCACUACUAGAAAAACAACCUUUUACGACGUGCAAUGCGUGUCGUAAAACGAUCAGACGACGCUCAAAUGCGUGUCAAGGAAGGCCCUAUCAUAACGAGAGACGACACGCGCGUCGUCCAUUUACAACACGCAAUUACGAAACACAUUUUCGACGCACGUUCACGAUACACAAUGCGUGUCAAGGAAGGCCCCGUCAUAAAGGAAGAUGACACACAUUUGUGUGUCGUAACCUUACGACGCGCGUUUAGGACACGCAUUGCGUAUCAUUAAAGCCCCUAUCAUAAAGAAACACGACACACGUUUUUAUGUGUCAUAAAGUUAAAUGUUUUAAAGUUAUAUAUUUUAACAGAUUUAGUAAUUUUCAAAUUAAAUAACACAUUAAAAAUCUCAUAAUACAAAAUAAAAUACCAUAAGUAACAAAGAUAAUUCAUUUCACUAAUAUGUCAAAUACAAAUAAUUAUUCCAAUAGUGAGUAAAUGUAAUAAAAAAAUGAACUCAAGAGAAGCGAAAUUUAUAUACAGUUGCAUUAUCUAGCUUAUUAUGUGCCAACAACUCUGUGUGUGUUUGCUUUUGCUUGAGUCUCCUUUCCUCCAUAGCUUCUAGCCAUGCCAAAGUAUGAUAUCUUAAGGUUCAUGUCCAAAUCAAGUAAAACAUUGCUAGCUUAAAUUCAUCAAGUCCUUGGCGUGAAGUCUUAGAUAGACGCUUAACUGCAAUCUCCAAUCCUUCUAGCAGACCCUAGAGAUCAUUAUUGGCCAUGUAGCAGGAUCAACCUCAGACAUAGAUAGUGUUUUGUUCACCGUUGUCUAAGGAAUUACCUCAGUUCCUGAAAUAAUAAUCUGGACAAUUUGAUCAAAUAAGCUUGUUUUUUCUUUUUCAAAAUAUUUCCAAUGGAGAAGGCAUUUGUAUAGGGUAAAUAGUGAAACAGGUUUGCCUUAACCUGCUAUUUAUACCAGCAUCUAGAUGACUCCACUGUCAAAAAACCAAUCUGCCCUUUACAGAUUUAGUGACUUUUUACUAAACAAAAUACUACAGAUCAACAAAGUAAAUAGAAAUUUAAAAAAAAUGGUAUUUGAGAUGCUAUUUGGAGUUCAAACAACCAUAAAGAUUACCUAUUAAGGAGUAACCAAAGGGGAAGCAAUAUAAAUCUUCAAAAUUGUUUGGCUUUACAACCUUCAUAAAGAACAUGGACAACAAAAAGUUAGAUACUAGAUACUAUUUGGAAUUGAAAUAUAAAUAUUUAUACAAAUGAUUACGAGGGGUAAACAUGUAAAAAUACCUCUCUCUCUAACUCAGAGAGUUAUUUCUUUAGCUUUUUAAGAGUGUCAGCACGAAUAUAUGAUUUCAAAUAAAUAUAAAAAACUGGCCAUUUUAAGUUUAUGUGGUUUUGGUUUAUUGACAAUUAAGAAAAUAUAAAAAGAGAGGGGCAUUAUAGUAAACUUACCUAUGGAAUUGAUAAGUGAGGAUACGAUGACCACUACACAUGCUUUACACAGUUACCAAUAGAAAGUGUAACCAGAGGUACCCUUUGCAGUAUCAUGUAAACAACCUGGGUAAAAAAAUUUAUCAAAUCAAAUUCACAAAAUUGGAUGAAAACAUUAAAGAAUGAAAGGGGAAUCCACCAAAGACGGUUAGUACUUUAUAAGUUAGGGAUUUGAAGGAUUUGAACUUUUUGAUAGUGGAGAGAUUCCAUGGAUCCACGUUUCUCAUCCAAUUUUGUGAACUUCCUGGAAAUAAACCAAUUGCCAACAUAGAAAGAAAUAAAUACAAUUUCCUAGAAAAUAAGAAAAGUACACAUAUAUUUUGUUCAUUCAAAGAAUCAAAUAGCUUUUUUAAAUUUAAAAAUAAAAUUAAAACAUUGUGAAGCAAUUCAAGAAAUGCACUUCUAGGGCCCGUUUUAUAUGGGACAAAAGAGUCCAAUUUUUAUUAUCACACUGCCAUUCAUUAGUCCAAGUCCAGAAUCCUACUCCAGUGUAUGUCAGGCACAGUACAAGGACGUGUAAACUGUAAUGUCAAAUUAAACAAACAGUUAGGGGCAAAGAUUGAGCUUCCAACUUCAGUAGUCAGAUUUGAGUGUAGCUGAAUAAUAUGAGUCAACCUUUUGUUCUCUAUUAGCUCAACUUGAUCCAUUUCAUCACUCUACUUAUAGCAUUCAUCAUGACAAAGACCGACUUUCCGUUUCUUAAAAACAACAACUAGAACUUGAAUGGACCCUGAAAACUGGCUCUUACCAACUUCAACUUUCAAAUAAAGAGGCUAUUACCAACUUCAACUUUCAAAUGGACCCUAAAAACAACUAGCAUACUUUUCUUAGUUUCUUUACCAUAGGCAUAACAUCCUACUUUAUUUUCUUCCUAUUAAGACAUUAUUAUACAUUCCAAAUGUAAACUUCUUUGAUUUUGGUUACCAAUUAUAGCACUAUACUUUCGGUUUUGUUCUUAUUAAGGCAUUGUACUUGGUAGUAGAGCACUGUUCUUUGUAUUAAGACAUUGUACUUUGACAGUCUAACAUAUUAAAACCUCGUACUAUGAUAUACAUUUCUUGUACUAUAUAUACAUGGAAGAUACCAUUUUAAACAAUUCAAAUAACACACAGAUAUCAACAGACUAGCAACAAAAAUCAUUGUUUUGCUCCAUAAAACGAUUAAAGAGCUACAAAAGAGUACACCAGGGGAUAACUUGCACAAAAAGAACUUUCAGAUCUGUUAUUCAUAACUUUGGCCAUCAGUUUGGGUGUCCAUCCACAAAACUCCAAAACAAGUAAAGCCUUGUAUGUUGACUUGAGAAAAGUUGUUAGGUCCUCUGUGGUUGAUAAAGACUUGAGGGGGAUUUACUUAGGAAAAAGUGACAUAAAAUGAAGCAAACAGGGGGUGAUUGAUCAAAUUUUUAUCAAAAAAACAUCUUAAGAAUAAAGAACAUAGGAAAAAAAUAGUAGGGGUAUUUUCGUCCUACAAUAGUGUAAAAAUCUACUUAGAAAACACAAAAUGAAGCAAACAUGGGUUGAUUGAUCAAUCAUAACUGACCUUAUCAUUGAUGGUGUGCAGCUGAAGUUUUUUAUCCCAUUUGGAAUUAUCUUCACUUUCCUUACGAUCCCAUAUACAAGACCAAAAUGAAAACAAAAAUUCCUAGCCUGUUGAUAGGCAUAACUCAAAGGUACUCGUCACCCUAAUACAAUAAAUUAUCUUCCAAGUUUUCAUGACUUUAGGAAUUUUAUGAGAUCGAAUGUAAAAGUUCUUGAGCACUUGUGGUGGAAAUAAAUAAGAAAAAUUCAUAUUAAUUCAUAUAAAAAUGAUGAAAGCUGAAAAAUGAUGAGUUCAUAAACCUGAAUAAAAAUGAUUGACGACGUAUGGUAUUUUCAGGGCCCCACCCACCCAUUCAUCCUCUCUGAAUAAGGGCUGAACCUGAAAUCCACUUUCACUCAACCCGAAAUCGGCUCCUUUAAAGGCACCGGUGGGAGGUACAUGUUAUCCCUAGAUCCUGAACUCCCACCGGAUUUCUUCCCGGAAUUCUUGCUCUUUCGUUCGCUGAUUUUCUUCCCUGUGCCACUCCGAUAAUGCAGACAUACCUGUGAGAGUCAGUCCUCGAAAAUUUUAGUCUCGGGUGAUUCGGAGGUGAGACCACCGGUAUAGGAAGAAUCAUCGAGCGUUGCUUUCGUUUUAAAGGAGAAGGUUGGGGGCAGCAGUGCGUGGGUCUGAGUGGGGACAGAGGGAGUGGUGAUGAGAACAGAGGGUUGGAGGACACCAUUGCUGAUAGAAGUAGAGCCUCUCCUUUAGUACUUGCACCGAUCGAAUAAUCCUAAGCAUAUGUCAUUUUCAUUUUGUGAGGGUUAGCGAGUCAGUUUCCUUGAGGCUGGGGUGAGAGAACUGCAAAUGGUGAUGGUGGAUGAAGUGUUGGUCGAUAAGUUCGGUACAUCGUCGUCGUGCAGGCCUGAAGAGUCGGUGUGGGUUGGAGGUAGGGGAGGUGGGUGAGGGGUGGAGACGAAGGAGAGGAGAUAUUAGAGAACAGAUCGUAACGAAUGUAGAAGAAGAAAGCAGGGUUUAAAUUUUUUGGGGAUUUCAUUUUCCCUCUAAGAGGAGAGACGUGUGUUUCUUAAAAAAUUAUAAAAUGACAUUCAUAGAUGACACACAUUUUAGAUAAAGUGCCCUCUGUAUUUUUAAUUUUUUUUUACAUGAGACACUAAUUUAAGGGCACACAAUAAUGUAUGACCUAAAUCCUUAAAUUUUUUUGAAGAAAUGACACCUUUUUAAUGUCACUCUCUUUUGCGUCACAUAAAUCAAUGAGUGUCGUGGUUUGCACGUAGUAAAAAGGUCUUUUUCAUGUAGUGCGUGCGGAUUUGGUGGAGCACGUUUUUAGGGCUCACAUACAGCCCCAUACAGAAUAUUAACACGAUGAUUUGUUUAACGAAUCGGAUGAAGAUUCAGAUAUGUUUGUCGAGGACUCGAACGAGAAUUCAGAUGACAAUGACGAGGAUCACGAUACGGGGAUCACGAUGAGGAGGGCGACAAUUCCAAGUGACGUAUUUUAUUUAUUUAUUUAUUUAUUAAAUCUUCACUGUUUUUUAUUUAUCCUUUUUCAAGUAAUGAAAUAUUUUAAUUUUAAUUAAUUUUUGUGUUUAUUAAUAUUUUUAAGAAAUUAUAUUUAUUUUUUGAUUUAUAAAUCUUAAUAAUCAAUUAGGUUUAUUUAAAAAAAUUAAAAGUAAAAGAUAGUGAAAUGUGAAAAUUUCAUACCUUUCGGCGAGUGAAAAAGAAGGAUAGAAAAACUGACCUCACAUUCACAAAGUAAAAUGAAAGAUGGUAUAUCCUCUAAUGUAAUGCUUAUAUUUUUUGCAGUGUAAAAAUAAGAUAGAUAAAGACAUGCACGCACAUACACACACUACAAGAAAACAGGCAAUUAGCGGCGACAAAAGUCGCCGGUAGAGGGUCCAAAUGUCAGCGGUAAUGGUAAUAGCGACGAAGACGUGUCGCUGGUAAUAAGUCGUUGUCACACCCCAAAACCAGGAAUGGCGGAAACGUUCCGGGGUGGAGGACAUCAUGUGAAGUAUCAUAACAGUGUAAAGUAUUAAACAAGCAACAACAUCAUCCAUUGCAUUAAAAGUAAAGUUCUAAUACAUGUGUGUUCCUUCAUGAUGUACAACAAUAAAAUGAAUAAUCGAAAUAAGAUGAGUCUUGUAUGUGCUCCGUCUUCUCAAAACCUGACCAUCGUACCUGUCUAACUGAUGACCUGAGAAUACAAGUUAUUUUGAAAGCGAGUAUCAGCCUAAAGCUGGUGAAUUCAUAAGUAUUUAAGUGUUAUUGUCUGGUUUUGGAAUGCUGUUAUGAAUGUCAUGUAAAUCUUUAAAUGGAACAGUUGAUAUAAGUAUGAAAUGUAGUCUUCUACCAAGACUCGAAUGUUUUUGUAAGUAAAAUGAUAGUUUUUCCUUCUUUUUGACUAUUACAAACAGUAAUUAGUCUAACUCAUCGUUUAUGUGAAUGUAUCACAAAAUCAAGUAAAAUAGGAAAAAGAUAUGAUAGUCUUCUACCAAGACCUGAAUGUUUUGCUAUGAAAAUGAUGGUUUUUCCUUCUUUUUGACUAUUAAAACAGUACUUAGUCUAACUCAUCGUUUAUGUGAAUGUAUCACAAAAUAAAGUAAAAUAGGAAAAAGAUAUGAUAGUCUUCUACCAAGACUUGAAUGUUCUGUUAUAAAAGUGAUAGUUUUUCCUUCUUCUUGACUAUCAUAAACAGUAAUUAGUCUAACUCAUCGUUUAUGUGAAUGUAUCACAAAAUAAAGUAAAUAAGAAAAAGUACUAAUGUAAGUGUUAUCCCGAGGUACUAGGGCUAACACGCCAUCGCGUAAGCGAAAUGUAUAACCUAUCACAAAAUGAAGUAAAUAGGAAAAAGUACUAAUGUAAGUGUUAUCCCGAGGUACUAGGGCUAACACGCCAUCGCGUAAGCGAAAUGUAUAACCUAUCACAAAAUGAAGUAAAUAGGAAAAAGUACUAAUGUAAGUGUUAUCCCGAGGUACUAGGGCUAACACGACAUAUGUAAAUGUUAUCCCGAGGUACUAGGGCUAACAUGACAUAUAUACCCUAAUGAACAUCCGAAGAUUGUCCAAUUGUCCUCUAUAGCAGCAGCAGGGUGGAGGAAGGGUUAGUCCCGUAACUGACUCCUAAUAUAAGUAAUAACCUUAGGCAUCCGUAAAUGUUCACGACCACUGGUGCUAAUCAGCUGGGAUUCGGAAUGGUUAGUCCCGUCUAGAUAUCCCAAGGGACUAGGGAUGGGCAGGACAAUUUAUACAGAAGGUACUAAUAUAUCAUCCUCGCAAAUCGAGAUACAAGUAUUCAUGUAAGUAUACACAGGAAAAAUGUAUCUACGUAAAGGUACUCAUGUAAUGUAUUCAUGUAUCAUGUAAGCAUAUGUAAACGUACUCAUGUAUCAUGUAAGCAUAUGUAAAUGUACUCAUGUAUCAGGUAAUGUACUGGUAUAGACUCAUGAAUGAACUGACUCUUGUGUGAUUCCUUGUAAUAGGAAUAAUGUUUUGUUUCUUCUAACUAUCCCUAUAAUAAUUAACUGGAAAGUAAUUGGUUGUUCAAGUAGAUUUAUGCACCCUCGUUACACCAGGGUGUGGGAAACUGAACGAAGGAUGAAAACUAUAACAUCAAUACAUAUAUAAGAACAUAUGCGUAUAAGUGUAGUUUUGCUCAAGAAGGUAAAAAUAAUGGUUUUGCAAGAUAUCUAAGAGUUUUGAACAAUAAUUAAGAGUGACUUGAUGUCAUUUUAAUAAACAUUUCAAAACUAAUACUUUUGUUAUCAAGGUAUUUUAAGAUAGAAAACCAUUUCAUGUAUCACAUUUUGAAGUAUGUGAAAUCUACUGGAUGAAAACACAGUUAUAAAAUACAUAAGAGUGAUUUAAUAACAUACUGUUUUCUACUUGUAUUCCCCCCAUUAAAGCAUUUAAAAUCAUUUAAAACAUUGAUUAAGGGGUAUGAACUCACCUGUUGUGAGUGGUUCUAGCGGGUACGUGUGUAGGGAUGAGAAGUUCCACGAAUGAAGUCCCGAGACACAAUAAGUCCUAAAUGACAUAUAAGGACACAUAUUGACAUGAAUAUAGUGUUUAUAACAUCUAUAUGAAAGGAAACACCUUCCGGGACUAGGUAACACCUUGACCAAGUGUUGGAAUCACAUGUGAUUCAACAUAAGAAGGUAUAAAGGCACUCACAUGAGUUUACUACCAUGAGUUCAUGGCCCAAGGGAGUUUACGGCCGUAAACUCAUGGUUACUCAUGUGGGAAUGCAAGUUUGAAGGCUAGGGAAUGAUUUAGGGACAUUAGCUCUAACCUAGGAUGAAGAAAACCCACUUUCUUUGAAGUUCUAAGGAGUUCACGGCCCAAUUGAGUUUACUACCAUAAACUCAUGGUCAUUUAUGUUUAUGAGGGUCCUAAAGGUCAUAAGGAAGCAUUCUAAUUUCAAGCCUAAGCCUUUGGAAGUGUUUGUGGCAUCAAAACAUCCCUAACUUGAGUUUACGGCCCAUGGACCAUUUGGUCAUGUGUUUGCGGCUGUAAACACUCAUGGGUGUUGAUAUUUUCAUUGUUUUGGGUCCUAGACACAUCAAGGUAAAGUGUUAUGUUUGUCUCUUGGCUUAAUGAAGGUAUUUAGGGCACUUUGGCACCCUAAUAUGGAGUUCACGGCCCAAGAACUUCCUUGGGCGUGAACACCAUUUCCUUGGUGUUUUGAGGUUGCUUUCUAUCCCUAAACUCAUUAGUGUACAAGUCCAAACUAGUGUCAUAGCUUAAGGAAGGACUAGGCAGCAUUUGGCCCUUAAAAAGGAGUUUACUCCCCAAGGUGUUCUUGGGCGGUAAACUCUCAAAUCUUGUUGUUUUGUUAUGAUUUUGUGGUCUAAACAUGUAAUGGUAGCUUCUAAGUCCAUUUCCAAGGCUAUGAGGGACAUUGGGCAAACUUUGGCCCUUAUAAAGGAGUUUACUCUCCAAGUGUUCUUGGGCGGUAAACUCCCAAAUCUUGGGAUUUUGAUCCGAUUUUGAUGUUAUAAGCACAAUCUAAGCUAUAUAAAACAACUAGAGAGGGGUACUCACGAUUUGGGAUAAAAACCCGAAGAUCCGUGAGAGAGAGAAAAUGGCUUUUCUCUAGUUGGAAAUGUAACUAAUGAAUGAAUAUGGCUCAGAUUUCUAUAUAUAGUCCUGAUAUUUUUGGCAGAAAAUAUUUUAUUCCCGGAAUGAACUCUAAUAUCAUAGAGUAUUGGAAUAACAGUGUUGCACAAAACCCUAGUGCAUCCACUCUCCUGAUAUCUCCUUAAGUGUUAAACCUGAAAUACUCAAACUUAUACCCAAAGUCUGGAAUUUCUCUGUAACUGUUCUAACUUCUAUUGGCUUGAUAUGGUUUGUUCAGAAUGGAAAUUUCGGGUUGUCAUAGUCGUCACUACUGCUUUGUCGUUAUUGAUCAGAUUGUCGCCAUUAAAGAGAAAUGUCGCAGCUAAUGCUCCUGUCGCCGGUAAUACUUCGUGUCGCCGCCAAUGCUCUGCUGCCGAUAAUAACAUUUUCCAUUUUUUAAUUUUUUUUAAUCAACAAUUUUGGGUAUAAAAAACCAAUACAUAACAACGUUAAAAAAAAGAAAAAUUACAUAACAACAUCCGAUUAAAUCUUGGUUUUGCCGGAGGGGGCUGCUUGUGAAUCGACGAAGAAGAUGAAAGAAAAAAUGUAGCUGCAGCGAGAUGGAAGCGAACAAAAGAGAAAAGGAAAAUGGUGUCGAUGUUUUUUGGUUAACUACAUCAAACUUUAGCGGCGACAGCUUUACCGGCAACAACUUUAGUUUUAGCCGCGACUUCUAUCAAUAGCGGCGACACUAACGAGGGUAUUAUUGUCGCGUCAUUUAUUCGAGAAUUAACGGUGACUCAGUUAGGUCUUUAGCGGCGACUUUUGUCGCCGAUAUUUCUUUUGUGCGUUCCGCGUGUACCCUAGCCGUUGGAUAAACAUGAUCGAACAGUCUUAAUUUACCAGAACGUAAAAAUACGGAUCCAUGUCGUGGGCCAUUAGCGGCGACACAAAUAGUGACGACGUCCACAUUUAGCGACGACAAUUUGAUAUGUUGCCAUUAAAUGUAGGUGUCGCCGCUAAUGAUUGUAUUUCUUGUAGUAAAAAAAAUAAAAACAUUGCUCACCAAAAAAUGUUCACUAGAUAUGCAUAAGCGAAUUGUUUAAAAUCGGAAAAAAAAUCCUAACAUAUUUGAGCUUUUACUAUCGUUAAGCUACAUAAUUUUAUUCGUGCUACUUAUUAACGCAUUUUAAUUUCAUCAUUUUCAAGAUUGGUACCUACAAUUUAUCCAACAAACAAUUGAGUUUGUGGUGCCAAGCAAUUACUAUAAAUUUGUAACCAUUGGAAAAUUAAAUAAAUCAUCAACUAUGUGGUACGAACAGGGGCGGCUUAAUCAAUUUAGGGGCCCUAAGCGAACGAAAAUUUUGGGACCCUUUUUACUCACAUUUUACUGCAUUAAAAGUUAUCCUAGUUGUAACUUUGUAACCUCAUUGACUUCUCAACGAGGACCUAAACACAAUCAAUAUAUUUAGUGUAGAGAUUAUUAAGCUUAAACUAAAAUUUAGCAUCUUCCAAUUUAUAACACCAGAUUAAAUAAUUAUGUACAUUAACUUAUGUUCAUUUUUUAGAAUACGUAAUUCAAGUUAGUUAAAUUUUAAUUAGAAUAUUGGAUACAACUAAUGUGCCUAGGUAAUAACAGAUGUAAUCUUUGUUCUCAAGAAUGUUUUCAAAUUCACUUCAUUACAUGUCAACUGAAACAUAAUAUUUCACAAAUUUAAAAUGCAUUAUGUUUUCACAAAAGAAUGAUGUUUGUGAUUCAAUUACCAUACCCUUAACUUAACUGGACAUGUUGGUGUUGUGAGCUCCAACCAAAAUGAAACCUGAGAUAUAAAAUUGAAUGUUGAGUGAGGUUAAAAGAAACUUUAUGUAUAGUCUCUAUGGAACUCAUUACAUUCUAUUCUAAAACACCUCUCCUAAAGCAUAAUCGACAUGUAAGUCCUUCACAAAUCCACAUGAGAAUGUCAGUCCCAAAGUUUGCAUCAAUAAUAUGAGAUAAGGCUUUUAACACAUCAGUUUACAGCUUCUAUUGUCAAUAAUGAUGAAGCAUAAGCUACAAACAACACAGUAAGAUAUGCAUAUUAGAAUCUGAUCGUAAGCUAUAUAGUUGUCAAUAAUCAAAUCUCUACUAUUUACUGAAAAAUCAAAGGUUUGAUGCUGAACUUGAAACUUAUUAGUGCCAUUUAGUGGUUUGGCUAACACAACACGUAGUAAGUAAUGAAUAAGCCUUUAACCCGAACCUUAUUUGAACAAAUUUAACUCUUAAUUUAACUUUUAAUAAAAGGAAAAGCUAGUUUAACCCUCUGAAAUCACUUUGUUUCAACAUUUAUCCACUUGAUUACCUUAAAGGAAAGUUAAAUUAAUUUUCACAAGCAAAUUCCAAGCACAAAAAUGAGUAAAAAUCGCACUCACCUUCAAGAUGUCACAUUGUUGUACAAUUCCUCAGGAGCGAAGAGACUCAUUAAUGGCAAUUGGCAGAUUGCAGAAUACGUCUCUCUAUAAAAUUUCCACAUAAAAUUAGAGUUUCUCCACUUCAAAUAUCCAACAUAAGCUUAAUAGACUAAUCGUGAAAGAAGAAUAAAAAUGGAGAAUAAGAGAAAGAAGAACAUACCGUUUUAGACUUUCAGUUCUUGUCUUCUUCACAGCUGAGAGUUUUCAGUUUUUACUUUUAAUUUUUGAACAAUCAACAAUGGAGAAUCGGGGGAAGAAGAAUAGAAUUGAGAAUCAAAUAAUCAAGACUCGAUCAAUAUUCAAUCGAUUGCUGAGAAUCAAUAAUCAAAGAAUCGAAGGAAGAUGAACAAUCGCUCACUUGUUGAUGAUUUUGUGGCGUGUGCGAAUUGAGAAGGAAGACUAAUCGAGAUUUGCUUAGGGUUAAAUGGGGCCCUUUAGAACUCAGGGCCCUAAGCAAGGGCUUAGUUAACAUAAAGGUAAGGCCGGCCCUGGGUACGAAGCAAUAUAAUUUAUAUUAAUUUACAAAUUCAUAGUAAAUAUAUUCACAUAUUCAACAUUGUAAGGGAAGGAGAUGGCGGCUGGCACGUCAUAAACAUUUUUUUAUUUUAAAAUGAGCUGAUGGAUUGUCAUCUUAGGCUCCAUUAUAAAUGAAGGUGCAUGGAUUCCAUUAACUUCCAAACAAACACAACAAAGAGAAAAACCCAUUGAUAUGGAUAUUUUCGCUUUCUUCCCUUCAUCCCUUUAUUCAUCAAUAUCAAUUCUCUUAUUUUCUUCGAUCUUCAUAUAUGCCCUGCGAUGGAUGAAAACAUCCAAGGCUGCCCCUAACCUUCCCCCUAGCCCUCCUAAGCUUCCGAUAAUAGGAAACUUGCAUCAAGUGAUAGGUAAAAACUUCCAUCAGAUCCUAUGGAAAGUCUCCCGAAAAUACGGC